This is a long non-coding RNA of Vespa velutina, 10285 nucleotides long. RefSeq lists it as uncharacterized. NCBI's taxonomy places the organism in Eukaryota, Metazoa, Arthropoda, Insecta, Hymenoptera, Vespidae. The transcript is spliced from 2 exons. The record is from RefSeq and is a predicted model, not a curated record.
GGUAGCCAAAAAUGUUCUCUAGUAAGGCUCAGGUAUAUAUAUGGAAAAAUGUGGGAUCCCAAAGCAAAGCUAUGUAAUCGAACCCGUGAAAAGUUUGCGUUUGAUGAGGGAAAGGAAGAAGGUGGAGAAUGAGGCAAGUGGAAAGAGAGAAAAAAUGCUGGUAAUCUUAUAAUAACGCAGGAAGGGCCGGUCAUUUUUGAUAGAAAAGGAACUCUAGGGCGUGAUCAUCCCCUUUCAGCAGGUCGACUCGACGAUCUGGGACCCUCCGUAAAAUCCGCUUUUAGAAGGCGUCGGCUUGACUAGACGGACUCGAAUGAUCUCGUCGAGGGGAAUUAUUCUUUCUUUUUUAUCCGUUAGAAGAGAAAAGGAAAGAGAGAGAGAGAGAGAGAGAGAGAGAGAGAGAGAGAGAGAGAGAGAAAUAUUUAUCUUUAGUAAAAGUGGUGAUUCAAGUAGAGUAGAUAUCGCUUAUCUAUUUCGGAUUUCACUCAGGCUGUUAUCGUUUGCAACAACUUGAGCGUUAGACGAGGCGCCGGUGAAAAUCGAUGCGUUUAGCUAUUUAAACGAAAUCAAUUACGGCUACCGACAGGACUACCGGCGCGUAAUCCAACGGCUCUUACGCUUGGCUAUGCGAGAACGCUUCAACGGGGUGCCGCGUGGCUCUCGUCCAAUGCCCUUCCAGAUAUUGCGAAACGCCGUUGGCAUCCAAUCGGGCCAACGGAUCGGACUUGUAAGCCCGCGUCAUUAGAUUGAAUUAGUCGUUCCUGGAAUACGCUUACGAUCCUCGAUCGUCUCUCCCUUUCGUAAUUCAAGCUCCGAUGAACGAUCCUUCGAUCGUUGUUACAUUAUACCUAAAUAUCUCCAUAUGAAUCUCGAUGAUACUCUCAUAUUUCUAUUUAAUUAUUAAUAAUUACUUUUUAAGAUUAACAUCAGUAUCAUCACGGAUAUUAGAAUGAAGCGUUUAAGGGAAAAAAUAGAGGCGACUUCUUAUCUCUGAUCGCUGUGCAUUCUCGUAAAACGGCAGUUCGUAGAAGUUCGUCUUUUCGCUCGGUCUUUUUUCCUUUUAUUUUUCCCUCUUAUUUUUAACGGCCAAGGAGAUCCAUGACAGUGUGACGUUCCCUCUUGUCUUGUCCCGUUCUUUUCCAUUGCCGGAAGCGUAAACGUGCCCCGUUUUCUCUUGGCGGUAAUGGCCGCUGCGAUCCCACACGCGUAAUUGUUAGCAACGAAGGAAAAGAUCUUUAUCGGCUGCGGCGUAAUAAUUAUCACCGUGCCGGUGGUCACUUGUGCGUUAUGCCGCUUUAUACCGCAGCCUCAAUGCUCGUCGUACUUUUCCUUCUCUUUCUCUGUUUCUCUUUUCGUCUUUCUCUCUCUUUCCCUCUCUCUCUCUCUCUCUCUCUCUCUCUCUCUCUGUCUCUCUGUUUCUCUAUCUUUCUUGCGGAAUGCGAAGCGAUCUUCUGGCGGCACGCAAACAAGGCGUGUCUUUAAUGAACUCGAACUCGCGCGGCUCGAAUUAGAUUUCUUAUUCGCGAAGCAGCGUACGGAAGCAGAAAAAUCGGAGGGAUGAUCGUAAGCGGCAUCGUCUUUCCUAUCUACACGAAUAACCAACUUGAUGCUUUAAAGACUCGCUUGUUGAAGUUACGCGAAGCGUAAUUAAAAAUACGAAGUAUUUUACUAUUUCUUAGAAAGUGGCUUGAAUUAACAUUUACGAGUUAACAGACCCAGAAAAGAUAAAUACCCUCUUUAUUUUUCAUAAUUCUUGAUUCAACUGGAACUUUUCAUUUUGAAGAACCAUGAAAAUUAAAAAUUAGUCCGAAGUUUUGAAAAUCUACCGCCAUACGAAGGAUUUAAUUGAAACUCACCCCUAACAGACUCCUUCCUUAUCGACAUACUGUUAAAGAAAAAAAAAACAAACAAAAAAAAAAACAAGAAAAAAAAACAGAAAAACUAUAUCUACGAAAUAUUAUUUAUUCUAUCGAAUAAUUAAUUUUUCCUUCAUAUUGGAUCGAAAAUGAAAAAUUUUAACGGGUUCGUCGUCACUCGAUCAUCACUGUAACCAUACUUUUUUUAGAAAACUGCAAUUUUUCAAGAAAACUACCCACCGGGAGAUGUCACUAGCACGCAGUCUUUCGGGGACGUUUAAAUGUUACGUCGGUAAGCGGUAAAAUUGCAGAUCACGCUCUUAUCGACGAAUUUCAUCCCCAAUUUUGUCGCGUAUCAAACAUCGGUAUGCGAGCUUCUUAGGAAACUGCAAUUUAUAUGGGGAUGAUGUACAUUCUCUGUGUGUACCAGUCUCCUAAUUAUUACUUCCGUACAUGUACAUAUUUUCUACAGAAAAAUUAAAAAUUCUUAUUAACAUUUGCAUUAUUUUUAUAGAAUAUCAUUGAUCCAAUGACAUAAUCAAAAUGAAAAAGACGGGAAAAAAAGUGAAAGAAGCAUAGAAACAAUAUACACAAAUACGAAAUAAGAAAGAGAGAGAGAGAGAGAGAGAGAGAGAGAGAUAAAUUACACGUUUUAUAAUUUAUUAUCAAUCAUAGAAUUAAAAUGUCGACGGAAUACCAAAGAAGAAACAUAACGUUAUAGUCAACGAGAUCGAGCGUAUCGGGUUAGCAACUGCCGACAGAUGGCGAUGAAUAUAGUCGGUGGCGCCAGCUGGCGCGACACGCGUCUAUCUUUCUUUCGUAUUCACGGCGACGCUCGACGGAAAAUCUAUGGAAAAAAAUAGUUGCCGAGUGGCAUAGAGAAGUGGGGGAGAUUCAUCGAAUGGGGGCGGAGUUACGGCGCGCGGCGUGUUUGCAUCGCGAAAGAAGUGGGAAAAAGAGCGAGUGGCUCGCGCCUGCUCGGCUUUUUCCGCGCGAUCUUUCUUCCCCUCCACCAACUACCCCUCUACCACCCCCUAUCCCAUUGCUAAGUCUCUCUUUUACCACCAUCCCCUCUAACCCCCCUCAUUCCCUCCCUCUUUCUCUCUCUCACUCUCUCUCUCUCUCUCUCUCUCUCUCUCUCUCUCUCUCUCUCUCUCUCUCUCUCUCUCUCUCUCUCUUAUCGAGUUCCGUCAAACUACUAGGCGGGGUUCGAAAAACGGUUUCGCGCCUCUCGCGGAGGGGUAAUACAAGGUGGAGCUAGUGACGCGCGGAAUUCCGGAAUUCCGCGAAAGGCGAGAAACGGUGGGAGGGUUGGGUGACUGUAUCGCUGUCGAUGGUGGUAGGGAGGAAGAUGAGAGUGCUCCCGUUCGAAGUAUCGAAGGGGAAAACGACGAGCGGUUCGAAGAGACCGAUCGGAACUUCGCCAGUUCAACGCGUGUCAACCCUCUCUCGAGAUACGCUGCUCUCCUCGUUUCGUACAAAAGCAAUAACUUCGUAAUACAUUCUUCUCUUAUUUCUCAAUUUUCUCGAUCGUCUUUAUUCUUCUUCGGUACGUUCAUUUGAAACGAGAAAAAAGAAAAAGAAAAGAAAAAAAAAAGGGGGAAAAGAGAAAAAAAGAACGAAAAGAAAAAAUAAAAGGAAAAAAAGGAGAAAGAAGAAAAGGAAAGAGAAGAAAAGGAAAAUAAAAAGGCAAAAAUUCUUUUCGAUUAUAAACAACGUGCAGUGUGCUCUUGGAAGGAAAUUUUAUCGGAGGCGUAUCCUACGUGUGUUUUGUAUACGUGCAUAUAUUUAAUGGUUCGUAUACGUAUGUACAUCGACGUUCUUAUAAUUCUGCGUGGGAGUACGAGAUUAAUUUCGUGUCCGAGCAUCGUCCGUUUCGUUCUCGUUGUUUUACACGGCGUAACUCUAUCGCUCGGUCUUCUUCUACCACGUUUGCCGUGGGUUCGUUCGGUGAAUGGUUCUAGUGUCUUACUUGAAAAUCCUCGACGAGAGAUCAAUCGAGGAGAGAAGAAAAACGAAGGAGAUGGCAAAAGUUCGAAGACAAAUCGUGUGUUUACGAUAUCAAAGAGUUCUUCUUUUUGCAAGAGGUACUCUCGUCCCUUUUAAAGGGAAUGAAACGAUAAGGGAUGCCUUUAAAUGCGCUGCCUCGUGCUCAUCGUCGAGCGACCGUUCGGAAUCUAUCAUUCUCUUUCUCUCUCUCUCCCUCUCUCUCUCUCUCUCUCUCUCUCUCUCUUUCUCUCAUCGUCUACGAAACCGAUCGAUUUCACGAAGUCGAAACGAUAUUCUGUGCCGGUCGAAAGACGCUAUCGCGUCGUGCCUUUCAGCCUGGCACCUUUCGAGACGAUAGCCGCGUUAUCGUUUACAAGUACGGCGCAUGGCAAACACUUGGCGCGAACGAUAAGAUGGAACAGUUUCGAAGCGCGCCAGGCAACCGCAUGAAUCUCUCUCUCUCUCUCGCUCUCUCUCUCUCUCUCUCUCUCUCUCUCUCUCGAUAUUUCUCCUUUGCAACAAGCGUGUUUCAUUCUUACCAGGAUGAUAAAACUUUUAAAAAGAAUAAGAUCAAAUCAAGUCGAUAUCACUUGAUUCUUUUUUAUUCUUCGAGAUUUCGUCAACGUAAGAUUUAUAUACAUAUAUAUAUAUAUAUAUAUAUAUAUAUAUAUAUAUAUAUAUAUGUAUAUAAAUCUUGUGAAAAGAUCGUAAGCGCGUAUUUGAAAACUGUCCUUUUUCCUCUUUCUCUCCUUAAACGAAAUUGCGGAUUUCUUAUUCGGAAAAGUGCGGCGCACGCGGCACCGAGAACGCGCGACGCGUGCUGAGAAACGCGUAUCGAGCCUCUCCAUCCCCCCACCAGAACUUUUGGUGGGAAGCUGCUGCUGAAUAUCCCCACCAGAAAAGCUUUCAACUCCCCGCCAGUUUGCGGCGGAGGAGGAAGACGAGGAUGGAACGAUCGACGGGUAUACGCAAGAUCGAGUAAAACGAGAAACCCCUACUCUGUUUUGGGUGUUGUGUGGAGGGGUGAGAGAUAGAUAGAUAGAUAGAGAGAGAGAGAGAGAGAGAGAGAGAGAGAGAAAUAGAAAGAGAGAACGAAAUGGAUGAAAAGAGACAGAGACAGAGAGAAAAAGAGAGAGAGAGAGAGAGAGAGAGAGAGAGAAAUAUAGAGAAAGAGGAAAGGAGCAAAGGGAGGGUGCGAGCAAAAGAGGGGAAAGUUCGACUCACCCUCUCGUUUACCACUCCCCUUCCACCAACCAGCGGAGCGCGCUCCUCUCCCACGUAGCGGCGCCAACCGACGAGAUCUUUGUUGGUCGUUGCGCUCGAGAGACUCCGUUUCCGACGCCGCCAAGCGGCGAGUGCGCGAACCAUUCCCUGAGAAUUGUGGUGGGGAUAGUGUAUAGUAGUGGGGAUAAGCGGAGAGCGGGCAGCGUACGAGGACGGAGGCACGCUGCUCUCGGGACGCGCAGAACAUCGGAGUGGCUCGCGAAGGACGGCUGCCUCUUUUCCCCUCUCACUUUUUCUCACUCUAUCUCUCUCUCUUUUUCUCGCACGCGAUAUCUCUCCCUCCCUCCCACCCUUCCACCCUCUCUCACUCUCUUUUUCUCUAUCUAUCUUUUUCUAUAUUUCUCUCUCUCUCUCUCUCUCUCUCUCAUUUUUUCUCUCUCUCACUCCCUUGCACUCACUAACACGCUCUUUUUUUACUAUCCUUCUCUUACUACCCUUUCUUUCUCGAAUCGUAUUUCUCUCUCUCUCUCUCUCUCUUUCUUUCUCUCUCUCUCUCUCUCUUUCUCUCGUUUUCUCAUUCUCUCUCUCUCUCUCUCUCUCUCUCUUUCUCUCUCACUCUUUCUCUCUUUCUCUUUCUCGCGUACUCUUUUGCUCCUCGAACGGAGCGCGAGUCGGAGGAAGAGAGGCGCACAGGAUGGCGGGGCGAGAGUCGGCUUACUACGCGGCGAAACGCCUCGACGGCGUUCAGUCGUCAGCGAUCAGACCGCCGGGCAGUGCGGACCCACUCUUCCGAACAGUCACUCACUCUCUCUCCUACUCUCCUCUCUUUAUCUCGUAUACAUUAUACCCUGCAACUCCUACGUACCUGUCCAACUCAUAUUCGCGAUGUAUACAUAUAUAUAUAUGUAUGUAUAUAUAUAUACAUAUAUGUAUAUAUAUAUAUAUAUGUAUAUAUAUAUGUAUAUAUAUAUGUAUAUAUAUAUAUAUAUAUAUAUAUAUAUAUAUACACACGUCUACCAAAGGACUUCUCAACUAUACUGGAAUAUUUAUUUCUACGAUCUUGGAAUAGUUUUCGAAGAAUCAAUCCACUCUUCCUUCCCUUCAAUUCCAAUUUCGAAUUUCUCGAAUUUCGAAAUCGCCGUCCGCGGACUCGGUAACGAGAAGAAUACGUUCGUAAUACGUGACUUGAUAUUAAUCGAGAAAGAGAGAGAUAGAGAGAGAGAAAAAGAGAGACAGAGAGAGAGAGAGAGAGAGAGAAAGAGUGAGAGAGAGAGAGAGAGAGAGAGAAAGAGGGAGAUAGAGAGAAGAAUUCGAGAAUCGAACACGUUUUGGGAGAUCGUCGAAAAUCGUAAACGAAGACGAAUUCGAACGAGGGAUGGAUGGAUUCACUCGGCCAAUUUAUUCGAGGAAAGAUAAAGUGAACGUCCUCCUACGAAUAAAACGAAGACACAUCAUCGAGACGAGAAAAAUGGAAUCAUCUAACAACGUCGGAAGAUCUUGUAAAUAACGGAAGAGGAUAGAUAGUGUACGAUUUUAUACGACGAAAGUUAUUAUUUUUUUUUUAGUUCUCUUCUUUUUUUCCUUUCUUUCUUUCGUUCUUUUUUUUUUUCUUUGUUCUUUGUUUUUUCUUCUCUCUCUUAUUCUCUUUUUUUUUUCUUUUUUUUUUUUUCUUUUGACAAUUUUACUUUUCGCCGUGAUAUAAACGAAAUCGAGGAGAAUUUUAAUCGCGAGCAAUGGAACAACGGGGGUGUUUUAGACAGGGCCCAAGUGAGAAGGAAUUUGUAACGAGUCGAGAAGUUUGUGCGACUUUUACGUGCCGCGUAAGCACGUGGGUAUUCGAAUUCACGGAGAAACAAACAACUAUACAACACACUUUCUUGUCAAUGAACGAGGACGAUAGAGAGACUUCGAUCGUAACGAAGAUUAAACACGAGACUCAAAAGCAAGCAAGCAAGCAAGCAAGAAAGCAAGAAAGAAAGAAAAAAAGAAAGAAAGAAAGAGAGAAAGAAAGAGAGAAAUGAGAAAGAAAGAAAAGAAAAAAGAAAAACAAUCGCACGAGGGAAGAAAGGGCGGGGUGAGUCGAGUCGGUUUUUAUACAACGACUCAUUUUUUCAUGUGCGGAUAACGAAGAAGGAAACAGUGUUACGAAGAUAAAAGUAAAUACGUAUUUAAUGUGCGGUAUAAUAAUAUCGUAACAGUGUGGGAGAAAGCUGCACGACGAUAUUUUCUCGAAGGAAAAUUUCAUAAUCGGGCGUAUUUUAUUGUCGAGCGAGAAAAAUGUAUGCGCGGACGCGUUAUCCGCCGACGGAUGGACGACGAUUCGAGGACGAUCGAGAAUGCGACUUGCGAGACUCGGCCACGCUCGCGGAGAGGAAUAAUACGCGCGUCUCUUCGCGUGCGGACGGUAAGAAUAGUUUGAUCGUUAAAUUUCAAAGGGGGAUGCCGAGUUACUUUGCGAUUUAUGACGCAUUCAUCGCUUUUAUAGUAAGAAUAUUAUCCUAUGUGAAUUUGAUCGAAAGAUGAGAGUUAAAAGUGUAAUCGGCAAAAGUCGAAUAAUCAACGAAGAAGAUACGAAAAAGUGAAUGAGUGAGUGAGUGAGAGAGAGAGAGAGAGAGAGAAAGAGAGAAAGUGAGAGAGAGAGAGAGAGAGAGAGUAUAGGAGCCAAACGAUACGGCCCUGGUCUCUCGGUGGUUGAUAGGGUAUAAUCAUGCCGAGUUUCAUAUCUCGAAGGGGCCACGGGAAGAUGGUCCAACAUCUGCCGCUGCAGGGAAUCUCUGCCCACAUGCUGGCCAGCAUACGGACGCACACGUACGCGUUCACGUACAAGCGCAAAAAGUGACGUAGGUACACGGUGGGACGUCAUGUAAAUUCAUUCGAAACACAUGGCAGGACCCGAGAGCGCGCGGCGUUUCUCUUCUCUGCAAAAGGCUUUCGAGAAAAGGAAUCUCGAAGAUGGCAGAAAAAGAGACCAUAACUUUGACUUCGACUUUGGUACUCCGGCUAUUUCAGGCCGUGUCACGGAUCAAAUAAAUCCCUAUCCUAGUAGAGUUCCUUCCUCCCUUUUGUAUUUUCUUUUCGAGCGGUCUUCCUUUGAAACGAUCGACAGUUAAAUAUAUCUAAAUAAUUUGAAAUUAAUAUAAAAAGAUGUCAAAUCUUGACAAAAGGUCCUUUCUCUCUUUUUUUUUUUUUUUUUUUUUUUUUUUUUAUUAUUUCCAUUUUCUUUUUCUUUCCAACAAUGUAUCAAUUUUUAUACAUUCGAUAUAAAAAUUAAUAGCGAGAGCUUGAUAGCAACGCACGAUAUUUCGCCAUUGAAACGUUAAUGACGCCGGAGGGACGUUGAAAAAUGAGGCUCGGGGAGAAGCGGAGUAGGAGAAGUAAGUGGUAUGGAGGCCGAGGGGGUGGACGGGCUCGACCGAGAAAAGAGAUACGCUCGCAGCGCGCGCGGAAUUGCAGAACUGCCUUUAAUUAAAGUCAUCAAGCUAGUUGAACAAUUAUCAUUAAUUAUGGACGUCGCUUGGUCGCUCACACGAGCCAUCGCUGCUGCUAGAGUUGUAUGUACGUAUGUCGGAAACGUUUGACUUUCCUUGCGUGCUGCGGCUUCGUUUCUACGUUAAAGAAAGAAAGAAAGAAAGAAAGAAAAAGAAAAAGAGGAGAGAGAGAGAGAGAGAGAGAGUGAGAGAUAAACUGAAACAGAAGGAGAAGAGCCACGAUGGAAAGUCGUAAAAUAUAGAAACUUGAAAGAUUUGAAAAUAACUCGCUUCGUCGAGUUGUCAUUCUCUUUAUAAUUUGAUAAUGAAUUUUCAAAAUUGCUUUUGCUUUCGUUUUUCGUUUCUUUCACUUCUUCUCUUAUUUCUUUUCUUUUUUCUUUUUCCUUUCUCUUUCACUUCACAUAAAAUUCAUUCGAAAUCGUUUCCAAAAUAAAAUAGUCAGGAUCGUCGACUUUUUUUGUAUUCGUUAAAAAGUAAACGAAGCGCACCAUGGUCCCCGUUUUAUCUUUUUCCUUCUUCUUCUUUUUCUUCUUUCUUUAUUAUUUUUUUUUGUUUUGUUUUUUUUUUUUUGUUUUUUUUACUUCUUUGACUUCUUUACUGAUGACCGAAAAAAAGGGAGACGAAGAAGAUGAUAGCUAGUUCAGUUUGGUUCGUGAUAAAAAACAAGCGGCAGAAAGAAAGAAAAAAGUGUUGCUUCUCUCGGAGCAGCGUCGAUUUCGAAAUCCAGAUGUACUGAAAAGACAGAGAGAGAGAGAGAGAAAAACAGAGAGAGAGAGAGAGAGAGAGAGAGAGAGAGAGAGAGAGAGAGGAAGAGUGGAUCGUGUGCCACAAUAAAGAUAACGAUUUACGUUCGACUUUAUCGCUGGGUAGCCGGGGCCAAUGACUCGAUGAACGGGGAGAGCUCGUGUCUCGAUUCCAUGAUUUAAGUUCCGUUGUUGCCACCGAUUCGAGCCAAUCGCUUCGUUUUUACUGAUUUGGAUAAAAGAGAGAAAAAGGGAAAGAUGAGUUUCUCGACGAAACGAUAACAAAGUUCUACUAUAAAUUCGUAACAUUAAUUACAUUGUUUUCGAAUUAAAACGUUUUCAUAUCGUGCAUCGUUACUAUUUUCUUCGAUGAACGAAGAACACGUAAAGAUUAAAAUAUUUCUUUUCUUCCUUGGCAUGCUCGUUUUCUUUGAAAUUAUCGAUAACUAUACUUUAGGUUUAUAGACAUAUGUGCAUAUAUAUAUAUGUACAAUGUUUUAUUUUAUGGUAAACACACGACCUACCUUAAAUACGAUGUACUACGUUUACGUUUCCCCUUUUCGAUCCCUACAAUUUUACUUCUCUCUUUCCCCUUUCUUUUUCUUCUUUUUCUUUUCUUUCUUUUUUUCUUUCUAACGAGACAAUGACGUUAAUAACGAUAAUGAUCCUGUUAAGAGUUCUUAGGGGGCUUAUUCUUAUGUAAAAAGAAAGAAAAAAAAAAAAAAAAAAGAAAAAAGAAAAAGAAAAGAAAAAAGGGAAAAAAUAAUAAAAAAAAGAAAAAAAAAGAAGAAAAAAAAAAGAAAUAAAGAAAAGAGAAUUUAAGACCGGGACGAGUUUACGACUGCGAAUACCGGUAGAACAGGCCGUAUUUCUUCGCGAAAUUUAACGAACCUUCGCGCAAUGGGACACCAUUAAAAAAUUCCGGAGCGUCAUGUAGCACGGCGCACGCAAUAGCGAUAAAUGCCGAGGGAGGAAGAGAGAAAAA